This 255-nucleotide ribosomal RNA is filed under the name uncultured bacterium. RNAcentral's name for it is "partial 16S ribosomal RNA". It matches the Rfam family "Bacterial small subunit ribosomal RNA", at positions 523 to 776 of the family's 1533-position model. The record is from RNAcentral.
UAACGUAGGGUGCAAGCGUUGUCCGGAAUUAUUUGGGCGUAAAGAGCUCGUAGGCGGUUUGUCGCGUCUGCUGUGAAAACCCGAGGCUCAACCUCGGGCCUGCAGUGGGUACGGGCAGACUAGAGUGCGGUAGGGGAGAUUGGAAUUCCUGGUGUAGCGGUGGAAUGCGCAGAUAUCAGGAGGAACACCAAUGGCGAAGGCAGAUCUCUGGGCCGUAACUGACGCUGAGGAGCGAAAGCAUGGGGAGCGAACAGG